This 473-nucleotide unclassified non-coding RNA is filed under the name Hevea brasiliensis (rubber tree). The record is from RNAcentral. Lineage: Eukaryota; Viridiplantae; Streptophyta; Magnoliopsida; Malpighiales; Euphorbiaceae.
GAAAAACAGAACAUAGAUUUAGUUGAUUAUAAGAUGAUAGAACAAGCAGACUGGAUUGUAGAUAUGUAUAGAAAAUAGGAGUUCUUCCCUAUUCCACACGAAGCAAAAUAGUCGAACUGGUUUAAAAUUGAUCCUUUUUGGUGAGGAACUUGUCUCUCAAGUCUGCAACAUCAAUCUGGUCAAAAUGAGUCUCAGGAAUCCAGUUUCCAGUCUUGGGAUCUCUCAUCCAAAAGUUCUCCUUCUGCUUCACCUUCUUCUUCUCUGGCAAAUCUUUUGCCUGCCUUAUAACUGACAAUUCUGUUUGCCUGCUCAGGUUUUCUGUUGCAACUGCAUAUGAUCGUCUUAGGAGCAGAAAGUUAAAGAGUUGAAGCUUAUCCAUGUUGAACGGAUUAAAAAAAGGAAAAGAUUAAUAAUAUGAUGUGGAGGGGGUUACGAAAGAGGUUUUUAGGGUUUUCUGCGUAAGAGCAUUGAGU